Molecule: long non-coding RNA, 482 nt
Filed under: Serinus canaria (Common canary)
Lineage: Eukaryota; Metazoa; Chordata; Aves; Passeriformes; Fringillidae
Description: lncRNA (ENSSCAG00000001736.1)
Source: RNAcentral
UUGGAAAAAUGGAGGUUGGAAGAAAAUGGAGAUUUUGGGGUUUUACCUCUAAAAAAAAUGGAGGUUGUGGGAUUUGCUUGGAAAAAAAAAUGGAGGUUGGACAAAAAAUGGAGGUUUUGGGGUUUUUCCUUGGAAAAAUGGAGGUUGGAAGAAAAUGGAGGUUGGACAAAAAAUGGAGGUUGGACAAAAAAUGGAGGUUCUGGGGUUUUCCUUGGAAAAAUGGAGGUUGGAAGAAAUGGAGGUUGGGAAAAAAAAUGGAGGUUUUGGGGUUUUUUUUUGGAAAAAAUGGAGGUUAGAAAAAAUAGAGGUUUUGGGAAUUUUCCUAGGAAAAAAAAUGGAGGUUUUGGGGUUUGCUUGGAAAAAAAAAAUGGAGGUUUUCCUUGGAAAAAUGGAGGUUGGAAAAAAUGGAGAUUGGAAGAAAUUGAGGCUGGAAAAAAAUGGAGGUUUGGGGGGUUUUCCUUGGAAAAAUGGAGGUUGGAAAA